CUCGUAGGCGGUUUGUCGCGUCGUCCGUGAAAACUUGGGGCUCAACCCCGAGCGUGCGGGCGAUACGGGCAGACUUGAGUACUGCAGGGGAGACUGGAAUUCCUGGUGUAGCGGUGAAAUGCGCAGAUAUCAGGAGGAACACCGGUGGCGAAGGCGGGUCUCUGGGCAGUAACUGACGCUGAUGAGCGAAAGCGUGGGUAGCGAACA
RNAcentral lists this ribosomal RNA (207 nucleotides) under uncultured bacterium. RNAcentral's name for it is "partial 16S ribosomal RNA". It matches the Rfam family "Bacterial small subunit ribosomal RNA", at positions 568 to 774 of the family's 1533-position model. The record is from RNAcentral.